UAUGUCGGAGAUGGUGGAACAACGAAAGGCAUUAACGAGAACUGUUGAAAAUAUUAUGAAUAAGUAUACAAUCUUAUAUUUAUUUUUUGUGUAUAUGUGUAUUGGUUAAAUAUGAUAUAUGCAGGGUAAAGAAAGAAAGGCGCGGACCUAGAUAUGGGUCGGGUUAUAUCCGGUUAACAAUAGCAGGUAUAAAAGAAGAGAGAGAGUGUAAAGAGGGCAGAUUCAGCUACCUUCAUCCUGUUCUUCUGUCUCGUUUUCUCUCUUGUACAAGUUCUGUCAAUUAGGGUUUUGUGAAAGGAUCGAAGUGUUGAGUCGUAGAUCUGAUAUAUUUUUUCCUAAUUGUUCUUUGUGUUCUAUUGUGCAAUAUUCAGUUGUUCAUCUCAGAUUAUCAUCCUAGAUUAGGGUUUGAGUGUUUUGUUACGAGAGUAGAAUAGGGUAUUUGUAGUGAGGUUUUUUGAUGUAUGUUCUUGAAAACCUUCUGUUUCUUUGUCCUUAAAUGAUAUAAGAAAUGAAGAUGUUGGGAAAAAUGUGAUUGUAGUUUUAUAACAUGGUAUCAGAGCUUGAGGUUCGUCGUUCUUGUUCCUGACGCAUCUUCUGGUGGUUAUUACUACGAUCUGUUGUCAUCGCUGUCACGAGGUUAGUUUUCUGGUUGAUUAACCUGGUUUGAGUUACUCUGUAUUAGACUUAGGGUUUCAUUCUUUUACUCUUCUUCUAAGUUUUUUUGAGAUCCUGGUACUGCGAGAUUUUGUGUUGUUCUUGCAGAUUGAGUCUCCUUCUGGUGCUGAUCUCUGAGUGAAACUGAAAAUCACAAGUGUGUCCGUUAUCGAUUAAUCCCUCUAAUCUUCUCUUUGGGGUCGGAUUUCAUCACCGAUAAACCCGUUGAGUAAAAGAUUCAGGGAGUCGAUUUUUAAACAAGAAAUUUGCCUUAAGCACUGUGAGGUUUUCUUGUUCCCUUUCCUUUUCUUGUUUGGUUAUAGAUGUGUUGGAUCUAGUGCUCUUGUUACAUCGAAUUAUUUGGUGUCUGGAACUUGUUGUUGAUUCUAUUUGUUUCUUUGCUCGCCUUAUGUUUGGUUGUCUUGGGCCCCGACAAACUGUGGUGACCAUCUGGACUUUAAGCCAACAUAAGUGUUGUUUUUUGCUCUUUACUUGUUGACAUUUUCUUGUCUUGUUUGUUCCUUGAUUGGUGUUAUUUUGUGAUCUGUUAUGGCUGGAGAUACACCUGAGGGAAGUGGUGUCCCUAAGGAUUCUCCUGUUGACUUUGAUGAUCCUUUAUACAUACAUCCUUCUGAUAAUACAGUUACUUCCAUAAUAACUAUUAAAUUGACUGGUAAUGAAAAUUUCCGUUUAUGGCGUAGUGCAAUGACUAGAGGUCUUAAAGCUAGAAACAAAUUGGGUUUUGUGGAUGGAACUAUUGUUCUUGAAAAAACUGAUGAAACAAAAAAAUCUAAAUGGGAACGUGUGAAUGCUGUUGUGUGUAAUUGGUUAUUAGGAUCUAUAUCUGAAGCAAUAUAUGCUAAUCAUGUGUAUUCUGAUAAUGCUAAAGACAUUUGGGAUGAGUUGUUUGAAACCUAUAAUAAGGCUGAUGGUUCUGUAAUUUUUAAUAUUCAUCAGCAGAUAAACACCUUAAAACAAAGUGGUUCUUCUCUUUCAGACUAUUAUAACAAACUUGAUUGUUUAUGGAAAGAGUUUGAUGGGUUGACUAGUUUAUCUGAAUGUGUUUGUGAAGCUGCAAAUAAACUAAAUGAUCAUUCUAAAAUGAUGAAAUUAAUGCAAUUCUUAAGUGGUCUUGAUGAUAUAUAUAAUCAGGUUAAAAGUCACAUUCUUUUAAUGGAACCAUUGCCUAAUGUUAAAACUGCUUUCUCAAUUCUCUCUAGAGAAGAGUCUCUUCAAAAGAAUGGUUCAUUGAGUUCUGUUGUUUCUUCAAAACCUCAAGUAUCUGUUUUUAAUAGUAAGGUUACUGAUUUUAAAAAAGGUCAAGGUCAAAAUAGAUUCAGAAAUCAAGGGCUACAGUGCAAGCACUGUAAUCUUAAAGGUCAUACAAUAGAAAAGUGCUACAAAUUGAUUGGAUAUCCAAAGGAUUUUAAACAAAGAAUUGGAAAUAAUAAUCAAAAUAAAUCUGUUUCUGUGAAUUCUUCUUCUGUUGGUUCAAACAGCAAUUCUGUGGUUGCUUCUGAGUCUGGUUGUGGUAGUGAAUGUCACUAUCUUACUAGUGAACAAUAUUCAAAAUUUCUUCGUCUCAUAAAUGAGACUCCUGACAAUAAGGAUGUACCUGCUGCUGCAAAUAUGGCAGGUACAACAACUACAACAACAUAUUGUUUUAAUUCUUUUGUUACUUCAAAUAAAUCUCAAAGUUGGAUUGUUGAUUCUGGAGCAAAUCAACAUAUGAUAGCCUCAGAAUCACAACUCCAAGAUACUGUGGAUGUGUCUAAACUUAAUCUACUUGUAAAACAUCCUAAUGGUUCUUCUGCUAAAAUAAAUAAGAUUGGGAAUGUUCAAUUGUCCUCUAAUCUUACUUUAUUUGAUGUGUUUGCUGUGCCAGACUUUAAUGUUAAUCUUUUGUCUGUACAUAAACUAUGUAAGGAUAAUGGAUGUGAAAUUACUUUCUCUGAACAUAAUUGUAAAAUUCAGGAUUCACUAUCAAAGAAGAUGGUGGAGAAUGGUAGAGAAUCUGGGGGAUUAUAUUACCUAGAUCACAUUCCCUCAGGUAAUUCAGUAAAUCUGAUUAAUUCUAAGUGUUGUGUCUCAAAGUUAACUUGGCAUAGUAGACUAGGUCAUCCUGCUGAUCAGGCUCUGAAUAUUUUGAAAAAUAAAUUGAAACUGGGAAAUGAGUCACUCCCUCCUUGUGAUGUAUGUCAUAGGGCUAAACAGACUAGGGAGUCAUUCUCACUUAGUCAACAUUGUUCAACUCAGUUGGGUGAAUUAAUUCACUUAGAUGUUUGGGGUCCCUAUAGACUAGCUUCUGUAGAAGGGUUUAAGUUUUUUCUGACUGUUGUGGAUGAUUUCUCAAGGGCUACUUGGGUUUUUUUGUUGAAAUCUAAAAGUGAAGUUUUUGAUUGCUUUAAGGUUUUUGUAAAUAUUUUGAUGAAUCAGUUUAGUGUCAAUGUUAAGGUUGUGAGAUCUGAUAAUGGUACUGAAUUUGUAAAUAAUCAAAUGAAAUAUUUUUGUAUUGAACGAGGUAUCAUUCAUCAGACUUCCUGUGCUUACACUCCACAACAAAAUGGAGUUGUGGAAAGGAAGCACAGACACAUACUUAAUGUUGCAAGAUCUCUUUUGUUUCAGUCAGCUGUUCCGAUAAAAUAUUGGGGAGAUGCUGUUUUAACUUCAGUUUUUUUGAUAAAUAGAAUGCCUACAUCAGUUUUACAUGGGUUAUCUCCUUAUGAACUUGUUUAUAAAAGAACACCUAAUUUUGAUUAUUUGAGAAUUUUUGGUUGUCUUUGUUUUGCUGCUAAACAAAAUGUUUCUGAUAAGUUUUCUGAACGUGCUGAAAAGUGUGUUUUAUUAGGAUAUUCUUCUGAUAAAAAGGCUUAUAAGCUUCUUAGUCUUGAUACUAAUACUUCUUUUAUGUCCAGGGAUGUGAAAUUUUAUGAAUCUGUUUUUCCAUAUAAGUUGAAGUCAGCUAAUGUUGACAAAAAUUUUUCUGAUUAUGGCCCAAAUGAUCCAUUUUCCUAUGAUGAAUUUGAUACAAAUGAAUACUUAAAUGAUUCUAUUAAUCUUGAUGAGCUGAGAGUAGAGUCACAGAUGGAUGGUACUGAUGCAGCCAUUCACCUGGAUGAUAUCAAUUCUAAUAAUGAUGUCAAUCGUAGUGGCGAGGCAAUUGUGCCUCCUUCUGCAGAUUCUGUUCCUUCUUCUUCUAACAUUUCUGAGGAAAGGAGUCAGUCACCCUUAAUCCCUUCUGUUGAACAGUCUUUAGGUCCUUCUAGGUCUAGACGUGAGUCUCAUAUGCCUGUAAAGUUUUCUGAUUACAUUGUUGAAGGAAAAUAUAAAUAUGGUAUAGAAAGAACUGUUAAUUAUUCCUUUUUAGACAAUAAUACUAAAUGUUUUAUUUCAAAUUUGAAUAAAACUGUUGAGCCUAAAGAUUAUAAGGAAGCUUUAACUGAUCCGAACUGGGUUAAAGCUAUGAAUGAAGAGAUGGAAGCUCUCCAUAGAAAUAAUACUUGGGAAAUUACAUGUUUACCUAAGAACAGAAAGCCAAUAGGUUGUAAGUGGGUUUUUAAAAUAAAAUAUAAGUCUAAUGGUGAAGUAGAAAGAUAUAAGGCUCGUUUAGUAGCUAAAGGGUAUAAUCAAAGGGAAGGAAUUGAUUUUGAAGAAACUUUUUCUCCUGUUGCAAAAAUUGUGACUGUAAGAAUAAUUAUUUCUUUAUCUGUACACAAUUCUUGGCCAUUAUAUCAGUUAGAUAUUAAUAAUGCAUUCUUAUAUGGUGACUUAACUGAAGAUGUUUAUAUGUCUCUUCCUCCUGGAUAUUUUUCUGUUGGUGAUUCUAGGGUUUGUAAACUUACAAAAUCUUUAUAUGGUUUGAAACAAGCUCCUAGGAAGUGGAAUGAAAAACUUUGUUCUGCCUUGUUUAUGUUUGGUUUUAAGCAGAGUAUAAGUGACUACUCAUUAUUUGUUAGAAAAUUUGAAGGAUCUAUAACUAUGUUGCUUGUAUAUGUAGAUGAUAUUAUUUUAACUGGAAGUUGUGAACAUGAAUUGCAGAAAGUUAAAGACUUUAUGAAAACUCAGUUUUUAAUUAAAGAUCUUGGAACUUUAAAAUAUUUUUUGGGAAUUGAGGUAAUAAAAUUUAAUAAUGGUUUGUGUUUAAAUCAAAGGAAAUAUUGUUUAGAAUUGUUACAUGAGUAUGGUAUGCUUGGGUGUAAAUCAGUAAAUACUCCAUUGGAAACAAAUAUUCUGAUAAAGGCUGAUGAAAAUAAAAAAGAAAAUUCAUUAUUGGAGAAUAAAACUGAGUUUCAGAAAAUUAUUGGUAAAUUGAUAUAUUUGACAGUUACUAGACCAGAUAUUUCAUAUGCUGUUCAAGUACUCAGUCAGUUUAUGCAUAAGCCUAAAAAAUCUCAUCUAAAAAUUGUUUUUAGACUUUUAAGAUACUUAAAAAACAGUCCUGGAAAAGGGGUGUUUAUAACCAAAUCUGAUAAAUUUGAGCUUAAAGGGUUUGUAGAUGCUGACUGGGCUAAAUGCAUGAUUACAAGGAAAUCAGUGUCUGGAUAUUUGGUUUAUUUUAAUAACUGUUUAAUAUCAUGGAAGAGUAAAAAACAGUCUACUGUUUCUAGAUCCUCCACUGAGGCUGAAUAUAGAGCUUUAGGAUCUAUUACUUGUGAAAUAAUUUGGAUAUUAAAAGUUUUGUUUGAAUUAGAAGUUAAAGAUUUAAUUCCUGUUUCAGUUUUUUGUGAUAAUGAGUCAACUAUCAAAUUAGCUUUAAAUCCAGUGUUUCAUGAAAGAACAAAACAUUUUGAAAUUGAUUUGCAUUUUAUUAGAGAAAAGAUUUCUAAUGGUGUGAUAAGGUUGGUUAAGAUUUGUUCAUCUGAACAAACUGCAGAUAUUUUAACUAAAUCUUUAAAUGUUAAGCAGCAUGAUUUUCUAACUAAGAAAAUGGGUGUUGUUGAUGUUUUUAAAAGUGAAAAAUAAAUAUUUCGAUUGAGGGGGGAUGUUGAAAAUAUUAUGAAUAAGUAUACAAUCUUAUAUUUAUUUUUUGUGUAUAUGUGUAUUGGUUAAAUAUGAUAUAUGCAGGGUAAAGAAAGAAAGGCGCGGACCUAGAUAUGGGUCGGGUUAUAUCCGGUUAACAAUAGCAGGUAUAAAAGAAGAGAGAGAGUGUAAAGAGGGCAGAUUCAGCUACCUUCAUCCUGUUCUUCUGUCUCGUUUUCUCUCUUGUACAAGUUCUGUCAAUUAGGGUUUUGUGAAAGGAUCGAAGUGUUGAGUCGUAGAUCUGAUAUAUUUUUUCCUAAUUGUUCUUUGUGUUCUAUUGUGCAAUAUUCAGUUGUUCAUCUCAGAUUAUCAUCCUAGAUUAGGGUUUGAGUGUUUUGUUACGAGAGUAGAAUAGGGUAUUUGUAGUGAGGUUUUUUGAUGUAUGUUCUUGAAAACCUUCUGUUUCUUUGUCCUUAAAUGAUAUAAGAAAUGAAGAUGUUGGGAAAAAUGUGAUUGUAGUUUUAUAACAAGAACAACACAGUCAUAAACCGCCAUGGAUUAUUCAGCAUUCAUAUGCCGGCGUAUUACGAUUCGGUUCUUAAAGGC
This 6219-nucleotide long non-coding RNA is filed under the name Lactuca sativa (garden lettuce). Its description in RNAcentral is "long non-coding RNA (LSAT_LNC006370)". The record is from RNAcentral. Lineage: Eukaryota; Viridiplantae; Streptophyta; Magnoliopsida; Asterales; Asteraceae.